GAGGAUGCAUCUCUUUUACUUUCUCUGUUACUCCCUCACCCAUCCAUCUCCUUCACACCGUCCAUCCAUCUUGGUCGCAUCGGCUAACCCACGCGUCGUCGGCCGGCACUCGCUACAACAGUUAUCUCUCUCUCUCUCUCUCUCCCUGUUUUCGCCUCACUCUCUCUCCCUCUGCUCUCUUCUCUUUUUUCCGAGCUCCCUCUCCCAUCUUCUCGCUUUUCUGACCUCCAUCUCCCAUGUUCUCUAUCUCGCUAUCUCCUUUCUCGUCUCUCACUUUCAUAAUUCAAUUUUCCCCAAUUUGAACCCUAAUUUGUUCGAUGCUUCGCUGCCUGUGACCUCCCAACUUGUGUUUGUGGGUAUUUGACUGCUUACUGGAUAUGUUCAUAAGAAGUUCAAUCAGCAAUAUAAAGCUACAAUUGGGGCUGAUUUUGUCACCAAAGAACUACAAUUUGAUGACAGGCUUGUCACUCUACAAGACACAGCUAGGCAGGAGAGGCUUCAAAGUCUCAGCGUUGCCUUUUAUAGAGUGACAGAUUGUUGUAUUCUUGUAUACGAUGUUAAUGCCCUGAAAUCAUUUGAUACUCUUAACAAUUGGCAUGAAGAAUUUCUCAAACAGAUUCGAGAUUUGAUAUGGACAUGUUUGGUAAUUUGGACGGUAGAUGGUAGCUCAUUUUGUGUUUUUGUUCAUAUUACCUUACAUGUAUUUUGGUUGGUUGUAAAUUUUCUAUUUUUGUUGGUAUCACAGGGCAUGUUGGGUAAUUCGCCCUUGAUAUUUUAUUUUUGUUGAUAUUAGUAGACAUGCUUUUUGUUGGAUAUUAGGAGAUGUGUUUGGUAAUCUGCAUGCGGUUGAUAUUAUAUUUUUGUGGAUAUUAGUAGACGCUUUUUGUGGAUAUUCAGAGACAUGUUUAUAAUCCGCAUGCAGUUCAUAUUGUAAUUUUGCGGAUAGUGUUGAAAUUCGAUUGUGAUGUUAUGAAAAUGAACAGAUUUUUGUAUUGAUUUGU
Molecule: non-coding RNA, 1001 nt
Organism: Camellia sinensis
Lineage: Eukaryota; Viridiplantae; Streptophyta; Magnoliopsida; Ericales; Theaceae
Source: RefSeq, a predicted model, not a curated record